RNAcentral lists this ribosomal RNA (164 nucleotides) under uncultured bacterium. RNAcentral's name for it is "partial 16S ribosomal RNA". It matches the Rfam family "Bacterial small subunit ribosomal RNA", at positions 355 to 511 of the family's 1533-position model. The record is from RNAcentral.
UAGGGAAUCUUCCACAAUGGACGAAAGUCUGACGGAGCAACGCCGCGUGAGUGAAGAAGGGUUUCGGCUCGUAAAACUCUGUUGUUAAAGAAGAACAUAUCUGAGAGUAACUGUUCAGGUAUUGACGGUAUUUAACCAGAAAGCCACGGCUAACUACGUGCCAG